This is a non-coding RNA of Paramuricea clavata, 210 nucleotides long. Lineage: Eukaryota; Metazoa; Cnidaria; Anthozoa; Malacalcyonacea; Plexauridae. The record is from the annotation of a GenBank genome assembly.
UGUUAUACGAAACUUGAGUAUUAAGCAAGUAAUAACUGCAUAGCAAACUCAUAAUUUUUACAAACAAACAAACCCACUCAAACAGAGAUACACCAAUAGGCAAUAUACAAAACAAAUUAAAUUUGCAGAGAGACUAUACUAGUGUAUAGAUUAAAAAUUAGAAUCAUCAUCGAUGCUGUAAAAUUGCCGCCAUAUUUAUACAGCAAUAUA